GUGAGCCGAGAUUGCACCUCUGCACUCCAACCUGGGCGACGAGAGUGUAACUCUGUCUCAAAAAAGAAAAUAUUCUCUUGGUAACACUAUUGGAAUAGGAACAUUCACUGAUGGAGGAAAUGCAAAACUGUAUAAUCUCUGUUAUAGGGGAAUUUGGCAAUUUUACAUUUAAAUUUGCCUUGUGACCCAGCAAUCCUGCUAUAUUAUUCCUUUCAUAUUGCUAUAAAAAAAUCUGAGGCUGGGUAAUUUAUAAAGAAAGGAGGUAUUUUUUUUCAUGGUUCUUCAGGCUGUAUACAAGCAGGGCUGUUAGCAUCUGCUCAGCUUCUGAUGAGGCCCAGGAAGCUUUUGGUCUUGGUGGAAGAGAAGAGGAGCCAGCAUAUUACAUGACGAGAGGAAGCAAGAGAGAUACCAGGCUCUUUUAAGCAACCAGUUCUCAUGUGAACGCAUUGCUACUGAGAAAGUGCCAAACCAUUCACGAGGGAUCCACUACCUAGACCCAAACACCUCCCCCUAGGCCCCGUCUCCAACAGCGGGGAUCAUAUUUCAACAUGAGACUUCGAGGAGACAAAUAUCCAAACCAUAUCGCCCACGUUUAGGAAUGUCUCUCCAUGGUAGAUGAUUUGCAAAUAGACGGUGGUAUACCCAUUCCAUGGAAGCAGGGAAAUAUGUUUGCACGUCUUUGGUUAGUCCUCUUCUUUUCUACUGACAGUGGGCUUGUCCAUGUGUCCUGCAUGAUCAAAAUGACAAUAGCAAACUUGAUGGCCACAGAAGAUUGAAAAGUGCUUGGGCAUUGAGCUUGCUCUCUCUUGAAGUGCUUGGAGCCCUGAGACUGCCAUGAGACCACAUAAAUGAUCACUAGCUAGCCUGCUGGAGGAUGAGAGGUCACUUGAGAAACCUUGGCUCACAGCCUGCUUACACCAGACACAUGGAUGAGUCUGUCUUAGACUAUCCAGCUCCAGCUGAGUUGCCAGCUGACUUCAGUCACAUGAGUGAGAACAACAGAAGGACAGCACUGAGCUCUGCCAAAAUUGCUGACCUACAGAAUCUUGAGCUAAUGAAUGAUUGUAGCUUUAUGCCAUUAAGUUCUGAGGCAGUGUGCUAUACAUAGCAAAAGCUAACUGAUACAAAACUAAAGAUACAAUGGCACAAACAUGAAAAGACAUGUUCACCGAAGCAUUGCCUAUAAUAGUUAAAGACUGGAAACGACUCAGAUGUCCACCAACUCAGGAGUGGUUGAACCUACUACAGUGCAUUCACCCCGUGGAAUACUAAGCAGCUCCAACAGGGGUAGGAAAUUUGUAUACUUUCAUAAAAUGAUCUUUAGGAUAUAUUGUUAAGUGAAAAAAACAAGGUGUAGAAUAGUUAAUAGAGUAUGCUACCUCUUAUUUAAUAAAGGGAGAAUAUAAAUAUGUAUUUUGCUUUUAUUUAGAAAAUGAAAGAAUAAGAAACCACUAAAAUGAUUUUUUAGAAGAAAGCAAGGGGACACAGAUGGAAGUUAGAUUUCUCUAAAUUUACUUUGUUUUGUAGCUAGAACUUUAGAACCAUGUCAAUGUUUUACACACGUCACACUUAUAAUCAAGAUAAAAAAUACUUAUACAGUGAUGUGUCACUUAAUGACAGGGAUAUAUUCUGAGAAAUGGUGCCGUUAGGCACUUUUGUCCCUGUGCCAACAUCAUAGAAUAUACCUACUGCACACCUAGGCUAUAUGAUGUAGUCUAUUGCUCCUAAGCUACAAACCUGUAUAGCAUGUUACUGUACUGAAUACUGUAGGCAAUUGUAACAGAAUGGUAAACAUUUGUGUAUCUAAACAUAGAAAAGGUACAGUAAAAACACAGUAUAAAAGUCAAAAAAUGGUACACUUGCAAGGGCACUUACCAGGAAUGGAGCUUAGAGGUUGGAAGUUGCUCUGUAUGAGUCAGUGAGUGAGUGGUGAGUGAAUGUGGAGGCCUAGGAAAUUAUUCUACACUACUGUAGAAUUUAUGAACAUUUGGGCUACACUAAAUUUAUAAAAAACAUUUUCUUCUUCAAUAAUGAGUUAGCUCACUGUAACUUACUUUUUAAACUUUUUAAAUGUUUUUUAAGUUUUUAACUCUUGUAAUAACACUUAGCUUAAAACACACAUUGUACAGCUGUACAAAAAUAUUUUCUUUAUGUCAUUCUAUAAGCUUUUUAAAAUAUUUUCAAAUGUAUUUUUUUUUUUAAAGCUUAAAAAAAACAUGUAAGACACCCACAUAUUAGCCUAGACCUACACAGGGUCAGGAUCAUUAAUAUCAGUGUCUUCCAUCUCCACAUCUUGUCCCACUGGAAGGUCUUGAGGGGCAAUAACAUGUAUGGAGCUGUCAUUUCCUAUGAUAACAAUGCCUUCUGGAAGGCUUCCUGAAGGACCUGCCUGAGGCUCUUUUUGAGGCAGUGUCACUCUUUUCAGAAAUAUGUCCAUGGUGGUUUACUCAAUUUGCUUCUUUUUUAUUCAUAGAUUUGCAUAUGUAAUGCAUUGCGCUAUACCAUUAAGACAGCUAUGAUGUCACUGCAGUUACAGUGUCACUAGGUGAUAGAAAUUGUCCAGCUCCAUUACAACCUUAUGGAACCACUGGUGCAUACGUGGUUCAUUGUGGUCCAUUGUUGACUGAAACAAUGUUAUGAGGUGCGUAACUAUAUAUCCAAAGCAAAAGCUAAAUGAAAUAAAUGAAACUAAUUGUGUUGGUGUCCUAAACACACAGAGGAGAAUUACUUCAAGUAUUUUUAAAACACAGUCACUUGUCUAUGCAUUUUUAGUGGAUAUGCCCU
Molecule: long non-coding RNA, 2784 nt
Filed under: Homo sapiens (human)
Lineage: Eukaryota; Metazoa; Chordata; Mammalia; Primates; Hominidae
Description: non-protein coding lnc-NABP1-1:5
Source: RNAcentral